RNAcentral lists this long non-coding RNA (260 nucleotides) under Eutrema salsugineum. Its description in RNAcentral is "long non-coding RNA (ESAL_LNC000510)". Lineage: Eukaryota; Viridiplantae; Streptophyta; Magnoliopsida; Brassicales; Brassicaceae. The record is from RNAcentral.
UCUGGUUUAGCAAGGAAUGAUUUAGUAGGCACCAUCGGCUCAGCACUUGGUUUUUCUUCUUUGGCAAAGCUUGGUCUAGCGGCAGAUGAACUAGCUCCAAAAGUUGAUCGAGAUCCUCUCCUCUUGAGUUGUUGUUCGACUAGAAUGGCUUUGUGAUAUAUCUCCUCUAGAUCAGCAUAGCUUUGCAUCUCCACUCUGUCUUGAACUUCUCGGUUUAACCUACUCAAGAACCUAGCGAUGGUUGCUUCUCUAUCUUCUUC